GUGGGGAAUAUUGCACAAUGGGGGAAACCCUGAUGCAGCAACGCCGCGUGAAGGAAGACGGUUUUCGGAUUGUAAACUUCUGUUCUUAGUGAAGAAUAAUGACGGUAGCUAAGGAGCAAGCCACGGCUAACUACGUGCCAGCAGCCGCGGUAAUACGUAGGUGGCAAGCGUUGUCCGGAAUUACUGGGUGUAAAGGGAGCGCAGGCGGGAAGCCAAGUCAGCUGUGAAAACUACGGGCUUAACUUGUAGACUGCAGUUGAAACUGGUUUUCUUGAGUGAAGUAGAGGUUGGCGGAAUUCCGAGUGUAGCGGUGAAAUGCGUAGAUAUUCGGAGGAACACCGGUGGCGAAGGCGGCCAACUGGGCUUUAACUGACGCUGAGGCUCGAAAGUGUGGGGAGCAAACAGGAUUAGAAACCCGAGUAGUCC
This 426-nucleotide ribosomal RNA is filed under the name uncultured Oscillospiraceae bacterium. RNAcentral's name for it is "bacterial SSU rRNA". It matches the Rfam family "Bacterial small subunit ribosomal RNA", at positions 354 to 796 of the family's 1533-position model. Lineage: Bacteria; Bacillati; Bacillota; Clostridia; Eubacteriales; Oscillospiraceae. The record is from RNAcentral.